Molecule: long non-coding RNA, 574 nt
Organism: Ailuropoda melanoleuca (giant panda)
Lineage: Eukaryota; Metazoa; Chordata; Mammalia; Carnivora; Ursidae
Exons: 3
Source: RefSeq, a predicted model, not a curated record
GGACCCAUGAAAUUUGGAUACAGGAGAAACAGCACCUUGUCUUGGAUGCCAUUCAGAGCAUGUAUAUAGCCUCCUGGAGAGCAUUUGCUCCUGUCCUGCAUGGUGUUACCACCUAGAUGACACUGUAACUGAAUCUUCAAAAUUUUUUUUCACUGUUCUAUCAAGCCAGCUGCUUCAGGAUGCUGUAGGUAAAAUGGAUAUGACAAAGGACUUGAUCAGAAGCCCCAAAAAGGCAUCAUGUGCUCAUCAACGUGCACUGUGAGGCUUGGCAGUAUUUCAGCAAAGUCUGCAGAGUAGCACUCCUCCAGCAUGCCUCCUGCCAGUGCAGUGUAUCCCUUGUAUCAAACCCAGAGGGAGAACGCUGCUGGUUUUGGUGAGCUGGAGCCAAGGAAGCUUAAUGUCCUACAAUGUGUGUCAUCAAAAACCUCACACAACAAAGAAUCGUACAUGUUCUCCAUGGCCCUUAUUUUUUAUUAUAAUGGUGGAUACAUGUUGUUAUCCAUUUGUCCAAACUCAUAGCACGUACAACACCAAGAGUGAACUGUAAUGUAAACUAUGAACUUUGGGUGAUUUU